Molecule: long non-coding RNA, 424 nt
Organism: Zalophus californianus (California sea lion)
Lineage: Eukaryota; Metazoa; Chordata; Mammalia; Carnivora; Otariidae
Exons: 3
Source: RefSeq, a predicted model, not a curated record
UAAGGAAGAGCGAAUCACUGGACAGAGUCUAGGGUGCCGAUCUCCCCGGCUGGCCCAGGACUAAGGGGCUUCCCAGGAGGUGGGAAGAGGCAUGAAGGGGACUUCUGCAUGGACAUCCAAUGGGGCGCGCUGGCCCAGGACUCAUGGAGAACAUUGUCAAGCAAGAGGCCACGCCAAACCGAAUUACAAGAAUACCCCCUGAAGUCGUUCAUCGGAACAAGGCAUGAUGGAAAUGUUGGGGAGUGCAAAGAGUGUCCUAUAUCACCUGUAUUCUUCGACAGUGAAGGAUGGGUAAAACACACACUAUGCACACAAAGCUAUCAUCCAGCACAGAGUGUGAUAAAAGCCAGUCAUCCAUUCACCAACGAUUCAUUGCCUAUGAGCCACGUCCCCAGGAUUCAUUGAUGAAUAAAAGAGAUAUGCG